This 352-nucleotide unclassified non-coding RNA is filed under the name soil metagenome. RNAcentral describes it as "partial contains 5.8S ribosomal RNA, internal transcribed spacer 2, and large subunit ribosomal RNA". The stretch from base 1 to 120 matches the Rfam family "5.8S ribosomal RNA", at positions 35 to 154 of the family's 154-position model. The record is from RNAcentral.
GAUGAAGAACGUAGCGAAAUGCGAUAAGUAAUGUGAAUUGCAGAAUUCAGUGAAUCAUCGAAUCUUUGAACGCACAUUGCGCCCGCCAGUAUUCUGGCGGGCAUGCCUGUUCGAGCGUCAUUACAACCCUCAGGCCCCCGGGCCUGGCGUUGGGGAUCGGCGGAGCCCCCCGUGGGCACACGCCGUCCCCCAAAUGCAGUGGCGGUCCCGCCGCAGCUUCCAUCGCGUAGUAGCUAACACCUCGCGACUGGAGAGCGGCGCGGCCACGCCGUAAAACACCCAACUCUUCUGAAGUUGACCUUGAAUCAGGUAGGAAUACCCGCUGAACUUAAGCAUAUCAAUAAGCGGAGGA